UGCUUCUCAAAAGAGAGUAUUUUCUUUUCUUAUCCGCUCUUUCUUUCUUAAAAAUAUUGAUUUUAAUAAUUAUGGUUUAAUAUAUUUAGGUGAUAAAAUAAGAAACUAACAACGAAGUACUCUGAUGUAAUUAUGUGAUAAAUUAUUGGUUUUUUCUUCAAAUUAAGAAUUAUGAUUCGUUAAUUAGAUGGGGUUUUAUAAUAUUGACGCUUGAAUUUUUAAGUAUAAACUUUUGUGGUUCAAAUAAUAUUGAAUUUAUCAAUUGCAUGUUAAAUUGCAUUUGUUUUCUUUUUUCUUUUUGCACUGCAUGUGAAUUCGUUCUUUAUGAUCUCAAACUAUCAGUUUUACUUUGAUAUGUAAUGUGAUUUUAAGGAAUUUUGAGAAUUAGUUGAAUUUGGUUCUUAAAUUUUGAAGGUUGAAAUCUUAUUUGCAAUGACUAAUUUCAUAUUUUUACAUUAAAUCUUUGUUAAUAACACAUGUUAAUGGCAUUAAGAGACCCUAAUAGGAGACAAAACUUCAAUGGAAUUGUUGAAAACAGCAAAUUACCAUAUUACUCUCUAUUGUUCUAUCUCACACCCUUAUUCUAGAUAUUCUUAUAUUGCCAUUUUUGCCCUCUAUCAUUCUAUAUUGCAUCCCCUCCCUGUAAUAUGUAAUACAAUGGUUUGUCUACUUUCUUAACUUUAAAGGCUCAUUUAGAAAAAGGAUGCAUAAGAUGAAAACCGGUUAUCUUCAUGUUGCAGGGUCAAAAAUCAAGGUAAUGGACACACUUUGAAGUGAAAUAUGGAGUUUGGCACACACAAAGUUAUGGACACUCCAAAACUGAAAAAAAAAAUCAACUAAACUCAAGUACCAUUUUUUAAUAUACUCAAAAUUCCCUAAUCUAUAUGCCCGAUUCUUGAAUUUGGGUUUCAUGUCGGCAUCCUCUCCAUCAUGUUCACCAGGACCAGGUUAUAGCUCCCUCACUCUUGGAUUCUAAAAAUAAGAUUCAAAAAUAUCUCACCACUGAAUCUCUCAGCAGAUUUGUGUGUGAUCUGAUCUGUAUGAAUGUAUGAAAUAUAAAGGAUUUUCUUGGUUGGUUGGUCAGCUGGUGAGAGACCAAGGGAGUACUGAAUUUGAAUAGUUCCACAAUGUACCACCACGAACUGGAUCUUCUUAGAACUGUUUCGCAAAACAUCCAAAUACUUGUAUGUGACAUAGGUGUCG
This 1203-nucleotide long non-coding RNA is filed under the name Lactuca sativa (garden lettuce). Its description in RNAcentral is "long non-coding RNA (LSAT_LNC003306)". Lineage: Eukaryota; Viridiplantae; Streptophyta; Magnoliopsida; Asterales; Asteraceae. The record is from RNAcentral.